RNAcentral lists this transfer RNA (72 nucleotides) under Bos taurus (domestic cattle). It matches the Rfam family "tRNA". From Rfam's summary of the family: Transfer RNA (tRNA) molecules are approximately 80 nucleotides in length. Their secondary structure includes four short double-helical elements and three loops (D, anti-codon, and T loops). RNAcentral also lists the same sequence under 5 other names. Lineage: Eukaryota; Metazoa; Chordata; Mammalia; Artiodactyla; Bovidae. The record is from Rfam by way of RNAcentral.
UCCCUGGUGGCUCAGAGGUUAAAGCAUCUGCCUGCAAUGUGGGAGACCCGGGUUCGGUCCCCGGGUUGGGAA